This 382-nucleotide ribosomal RNA is filed under the name uncultured eukaryote. RNAcentral's name for it is "partial 18S ribosomal RNA". It matches the Rfam family "Eukaryotic small subunit ribosomal RNA", at positions 592 to 976 of the family's 1831-position model. The record is from RNAcentral.
UGUAAGUGUAUACCAAAGUUGUUGCAGUUAAAACGCUCGUAGUCGGAAUUUGGCAGUUCCGGAAGUGUGCACGUCGUGUGCGCACUUUGCGGGGACUGCUUUUGUGGUCUUGCGUAGGAUGAGGCACUUUCAUUAGUGAACGUCCUCACGCAACCACUCUUUACUGUGAGAAAAUCAGAGUGCUCAAAGCAGGCAUUUGCCGUGAAUGUAUUAGCAUGGAAUAAUAGAAUAGGACUCGGUUCUAUUUUGUUGGUUUGUUGGGACUGAGUAAUGAUUAAGAGGGACAGUUGGGGGCAUUUGUAUUCCGGCGCUAGAGGUGAAAUUCUUAGAUUGCCGGAAGACAAACUGCUGCGAAAGCGUCUGCCAAGGAUGUUUUCAUUGA